CCUAUAGAGCAAGCCGUCCAAAGU
RNAcentral lists this microRNA (24 nucleotides) under Ananas comosus (pineapple). RNAcentral describes it as "microRNA s0489_c65a". The record is from RNAcentral. Lineage: Eukaryota; Viridiplantae; Streptophyta; Magnoliopsida; Poales; Bromeliaceae.